UUUUAAUAGGGGCUGAUUUGGUUUUGACAUUUAAAAAUUAAGUAAAGUAUGAUGCAGGUCGAAGCCGUUAUUCUUCGUAAAAACAUACAAUUUUAUAAUAAAUGCUAACAACAUAAUUCCUUUUAACUUCAAACAAGUAAAUAAGAAUUUUACUAAUUCUUUAGUUUUUGCGGUUUAAUACAUAAUCAAUUUUGUUAAAUUUCUUGGUUCACUAUAUCUAGACUUUUCGUUUUUUUAUAGUUUAGAAUAUUAUUAUAUAUCGUUCAUUUUUUGAACUAAGCCUGUGAAUGAGUACUUUAAUAAAAUUUAAAUGGACGUGGGUUCGAUUCCCAUCAGCUCCA
This 341-nucleotide transfer-messenger RNA is filed under the name Chaetoceros costatus. RNAcentral's name for it is "ssra". It matches the Rfam family "transfer-messenger RNA". From Rfam's summary of the family: Bacterial tmRNA, also known as 10Sa RNA or SsrA, is named for its dual tRNA and mRNA-like properties. Its role is to liberate the mRNA from a stalled ribosome. Lineage: Eukaryota; Bacillariophyta; Thalassiosirophyceae; Chaetocerotales; Chaetocerotaceae. The record is from RNAcentral.